Molecule: ribosomal RNA, 415 nt
Filed under: uncultured bacterium
Lineage: Bacteria
Description: bacterial SSU rRNA
Rfam family: Bacterial small subunit ribosomal RNA
Source: RNAcentral
UUAACGCGAAGGAACCUUACCAAAUCUUGACAUCCUUUGAAAACUCUAGAGAUAGAGCCUUCCCCUUCGGGGGACAAAGUGACAGGUGGUGCAUGGUUGUCGUCAGCUCGUGUCGUGAGAUGUUGGGUUAAGUCCCGCAACGAGCGCAACCCUUAAGCUUAGUUGCCAUCAUUAAGUUGGGCACUCUAGGUUGACUGCCGGUGACAAACCGGAGGAAGGUGGGGAUGACGUCAAAUCAUCAUGCCCCUUAUGAUUUGGGCUACACACGUGCUACAAUGGACAAUACAAAGGGCAGCUAAACCGCGAGGUCAUGCAAAUCCCAUAAAGUUGUUCUCAGUUCGGAUUGUAGUCUGCAACUCGACUACAUGAAGCUGGAAUCGCUAGUAAUCGUAGAUCAGCAUGUUAACGCUUCCCU